Molecule: long non-coding RNA, 416 nt
Organism: Acipenser ruthenus (sterlet)
Lineage: Eukaryota; Metazoa; Chordata; Actinopteri; Acipenseriformes; Acipenseridae
Exons: 3
Source: RefSeq, a predicted model, not a curated record
AUUAACUCUGUUUUCCACAAUUCUUAGAAUUUCAGCUAUUGGAAGAGUAUACACUGAGCAGCAGACACACAUUUGUAUCAGGACUAUGGAACACACAGUAACAGUGGAUACCUAUCCCAGGACACUGGGAAUUUCUCACAUUUGCCCUGGAAGGAUAUUAUCAGAUGCCUGGAGGAGGACCUGUCUAUCUAAAGUCCACCCUGUGCCUCAAAAUGGCUGCCAGGAAAUACCCUUUCAGCUGAUGUGUGGAGGACUAACUCUACCAAAUCAUUAACUACUGUGUGCCUCUUUCCACAACUGGCCUAGCUUGAGUAGAAAUGCAAAGGUGAUUGAAAGUGGCUUGAAAUGGUAGCGCUGUUCAGAGUGACGUCAGCAUGGACAAUGUAGUAAGGAGUGCAUUGUGGGAUUCUGCAAUA